AACAGGAUUAGAUACCCUGGUAGUCCACGCCGUAAACGUUGGGCGCUAGGUGUGGGGAACCUUCCACGUUCUCCGUGCCGCAGCUAACGCAUUAAGCGCCCCGCCUGGGGAGUACGGCCGCAAGGCUAAAACUCAAAGGAAUUGACGGGGGCCCGCACAAGCGGCGGAGCAUGUGGCUUAAUUCGACGCAACGCGAAGAACCUUACCAAGGCUUGACAUAUACCGAAAACUCAUAGAGAUAUGGGGUCCGCAAGGGCGGUAUACAGGUGGUGCAUGGUUGUCGUCAGCUCGUGUCGUGAGAUGUUGGGUUAAGUCCCGCAACGAGCGCAACCCUCGUCCUAUGUUGCCAGCGAGUAAUGUCGGGGACUCAUAGGAGACUGCCGGGGUCAACUCGGAGGAAGGUGGGGAUGACGUCAAAUCAUCAUGCCCCUUAUGUCUUGGGCUGCACACAUGCUACAAUGGCCGGUACAAAGGGCUGCAAUACCGCAAGGUGGAGCUAAUCCCAAAAAGCCGGUCUCAGUUCGGAUUGGGGUCUGCAACUCGACCCCAUGAAGUCGGAGUCGCCAGUAAUCGCAGAUCAGCAACGCUGCGGUGAAUACGUUCCCGGGCCUUGUACACACCGCCCGUCACGUCACGAAAGUCGGCAACACCCGAAGCCAGUGGCCCAACCGUUUACGGAGGGAGCUGUCGAAGGUGGGGUUGGCGAUUGGGACGAAGUCGUAACAAGGUAACC
This 733-nucleotide ribosomal RNA is filed under the name uncultured bacterium. RNAcentral's name for it is "bacterial SSU rRNA". It matches the Rfam family "Bacterial small subunit ribosomal RNA", at positions 771 to 1501 of the family's 1533-position model. The record is from RNAcentral.